GACACAAACAAGAGCUCAAGGAUGGUGGCUGGGGUUCAGUCUGCCGCUGCAAAUACCAAAAGCUGUCCUCAUUGAGUCAUCCCUCCCAGAGCAGGAAGAGCAGAGGUUCUGGGAAACAACCCCAAGGAGAGAGACAGGGCAUUUAUAAAACAGCAUGUAAGCAUCUCUGCAGUUGCUGUCCCCAGAGCCCACUUCCUGGAUAUUGCCAGCUGCCUGGACCAACCUUUCCGAAAGAUCAGCCAGGUCACAGUGAGGGUCAAAGAACAUUGGCAAGCACGUUGAUAGAGUGCCCACAUUGUACUGAACUCUGAGGGGAAUAGUCUCGUCCCCAUCACUCAGGUGGGGAAACUGAGCAGGAGGCCACUGGAGGCUCCAAGGGCUCUGAAAUGUUGAGAACUUCCCUGCAGGUACCAGCGAAGAGGGCAAGAACACAGCACUACUUCCUUGGAUACUGUUUCCCUCCUCAGAGGGGUUUUCUGAGCUGCCCUGGGUCCUGUGAGGAAGAUCUCCCCUUCCUGUAAAGACACCAGUCCUACUGGAUCAGGGCCCACCCGUGUGACUUCACUUUUACUUGAGUACCUCUCACAGACCCUAACUCCAAAUCAGGUCACUUGCUGAGGUACUGCAUGUGAAGACUUUGACAUUUGAAUUUUGAGGGGGCCACCGUUUAACCUGAACCACCAAGGACAGAGCCAAAGACCCUGGGUGACAGGCCCAGAACAGGACCUGGUGGAGGCUCUUCUUUAGGGGAGAGAGGGAAAUGGGAGCCACCACUGGCAGAGCCUGAAGGCAGGGCAGCCAGAAAGAAGCUGUGGGAGUCCCCACCAUGGAAGACCCUGCCGAGCAUCCUGUGUCUCCUGAAGCAGACCCUGACAUGAGGACUGGGGGCACGUGUUUAUUAAGGGCGAUCCCCGGAAGGAGGAGAUAACCAGGCAGAAGUCCUAGCAGAGUAUGCCCACGCUGGUUAGUGCUGCUGCAAAGAUGAGCCGAAGACCAUGAGAGACCUCCAGGUGGUCCUUCUGGGGAGAAGAAAUGGGUUUUGGCCCCAAAUCCUUCUGCUGCAUUUUUCCCCUAUCCCUGGGAAGCCAUGAGACCUCAAACCUGUGUUCCCAAGGAGGCGAGCUGCUGUUCCCAGGUGAUGAUAUGAUGUGCUUGGGGAAAGUAAGUGGCUGCCAGACAUGGCUGAGAGCUGUUGUCACUGCCGUCAAGUGCAUGUCUCCAAGCCAUAUCACACGGCGUCCCUCGAUGUGAGGCCACAUGGCAAGUGGGCCGUGGAUCUCCCUCUGCCCUUUGCAAGCACGUAAGACAGCAGAUUUUGCAGAUACCUUGUGGCGCAGGGGAAUUUCCUUUGGCCAGGUCUGAAGAAAUAAAGCAGCAGGCACCGAGAACAAAGCCAAGGCUUUCAAAAGACAAGGAGCCAAAAAACUUACUCAAAAUAAAAGUAGUUUUAAAAUGUCUC
Homo sapiens (human) is the source of this 1459-nucleotide long non-coding RNA. Lineage: Eukaryota; Metazoa; Chordata; Mammalia; Primates; Hominidae. The record is from Ensembl.